RNAcentral lists this unclassified non-coding RNA (337 nucleotides) under soil metagenome. RNAcentral describes it as "partial contains 5.8S ribosomal RNA, internal transcribed spacer 2, and large subunit ribosomal RNA". The stretch from base 1 to 120 matches the Rfam family "5.8S ribosomal RNA", at positions 35 to 154 of the family's 154-position model. The record is from RNAcentral.
GAUGAAGAACGCAGCGAAAUGCGAUAAGUAGUGUGAAUUGCAGAAUUCAGUGAAUCAUCGAAUCUUUGAACGCACAUUGCGCCCCUUGGUAUUCCAUGGGGCAUGCCUGUUCGAGCGUCAUUUGUACCUUCAAGCUCUGCUUGGUGUUGGGUGUUUGUCUCGCCUCUGCGUGUAGACUCGCCUCAAAACAAUUGGCAGCCGGCGUAUUGAUUUCGGAGCGCAGUACAUCUCGCGCUUUGCACUCAUAACGACGACGUCCAAAAGUACAUUUUUACACUCUUGACCUCGGAUCAGGUAGGGAUACCCGCUGAACUUAAGCAUAUCAAUCAGCGGAGGA